Molecule: long non-coding RNA, 871 nt
Filed under: Homo sapiens (human)
Lineage: Eukaryota; Metazoa; Chordata; Mammalia; Primates; Hominidae
Description: HSALNT0201002
Source: RNAcentral
AAAGAGUGUAAAAUACCAGGUACUAAACGAACAACUGCUAUCUUGUCCCUUGCCCAACCCUGUGGGAAAGGAGAUUAGCUGGCAGUCGCCCAAAUUAUAACUGAUCGUUUCUUGGGUUCCAGGAACAUGGUUGGGAUGUGAAGAGCUCCUUUAACAUGGCACAGAGUCUGGUGACUGGAAGGUCUAGAAGUAUAUCAGAGGAAAGGAAAAAUUAAUGGAUAAUGACCAGAUUUUACAUCCACCUAAUGGCUUGGAAUGUUCCAGUGCCAAGAGAAGGCCUUCUUGUCGCAUGUGAUUUCAUAAUAAUUAGGGCCAGCUGUGUCUGUGCGAAUCAGGUCAAGCCAGAUGCCAAACCCUAACUCAAACACUUACAGGAAGAUCCUCAUUGCCAGGAGCCUCAAACGUCCUGCAGAAAAUCAAAAAAAGUGAAACCAUGUGCAAGAGUUUCCUAUUGCAAAAACAUCUGCCUCCUGUGUCCCCUCUUUCCCUGUUGUACGGCUAACACCAGAUCCCAGUCUCUUCAGUGGCACUCAACUUUUUCAAGUCACAAGAUGGAAGCGCUUUGGAAGAGGAGUAAAGGACCUGGACUCUGAUUCCAUGCCACCGCAAACUCGGGCAGGCACUUCAAAGCAGAGAGUCUCAUUUUCCACUUCUGAAAAACACAUGGUCUAGAUGAGCUCUAAGUCCUUUGCACUCAAUAAUUUCACAGUCUUUUUUAUUAUUAAUAUUAUUUUCAAUUGAAAAAUCAUAAUUGUAUAUUUAUGGGGUACAAUGUGAUGUUUUGAUAUAUGUAUUCAAUAAGGAAUUAUUAAAUCAAGAUAAUUAACAUAUCCAUCAUCUCACUUGCCUAUCAUUUAAAAAAAUUUGCCUA